Molecule: small RNA, 27 nt
Filed under: Bombyx mori (domestic silkworm)
Lineage: Eukaryota; Metazoa; Arthropoda; Insecta; Lepidoptera; Bombycidae
Description: ovarian small RNA-22595
Source: RNAcentral
UAGCUUGUUUGAGGUGACCUGAUUUAA